RNAcentral lists this long non-coding RNA (357 nucleotides) under Gallus gallus (chicken). The record is from RNAcentral. Lineage: Eukaryota; Metazoa; Chordata; Aves; Galliformes; Phasianidae.
GUUGUCUAGUGUAGUGCACUUCAGAAAAUCAUAUAGUGAUCCAUUUUCAUGAUAAUCUGUAAUCAAGUAAAGCUGUGUCCAGGAUCCAGUGCCUUUAAUAUCUGCAGCUAUAAAACCAAGGAUGUUUUCAUGACGCAUUAAAACAGUUUGGUAAAUCUCUGUUUCUCGGAACCAGCUGGCUUCUUCUGUGGUGAAAAACACUUUGACUGCAACUUUUUCACCUCUCCAUUUGCCCAUCCACACUUCACCAUAUCGUCCCUUUCCAACUUGCCUCACCAUCUGAAUUUGUUUGGCAAUCGUGCGCUGAACCAGCAAUGGUAGCCCUGAGCCACUGCCAGAACUUUGCGACUGGUCAAU